Cercocebus atys (sooty mangabey) is the source of this 249-nucleotide long non-coding RNA. RefSeq lists it as uncharacterized. The record is from RefSeq and is a predicted model, not a curated record. The transcript is spliced from 3 exons. Lineage: Eukaryota; Metazoa; Chordata; Mammalia; Primates; Cercopithecidae.
ACCACCUGGUAACAUUCCCAAUUGUGUGAAUGGAUGAAGCUGUGAACUCUUGUGUUUUGCGGAAGAGUUUUUAUCUGGCUACUAAAGUGGUUUUUGGAGAAUAGAGAUUAAAUGAAUACCGCAUCUCUGACCAAGGCAACAUGAUGUCUGGGACUACAGUCAAAUGGUGAAUCAUCUCAGAUGUUAACAGUAUUUGUCUCUCUGUAAAGUAACCAGGGAACAAGGGUAAGAUGAGCAUGUACUUUUUAC